GACGAACGCUGGCGGCGUGCCUAAUACAUGCAAGUUGAGCGCUGAAGGUUGGUACUUGUACCGACUGGAUGAGCAGCGAACGGGUGAGUAACGCGUGGGGAAUCUGCCUUUGAGCGGGGGACAACAUUUGGAAACGAAUGCUAAUACCGCAUAAAAACUUUAAACACAAGUUUUAAGUUUGAAAGAUGCAAUUGCAUCACUCAAAGAUGAUCCCGCGUUGUAUUAGCUAGUUGGUGAGGUAAAGGCUCACCAAGGCGAUGAUACAUAGCCGACCUGAGAGGGUGGUCGGCCACAUUGGGACUGAGACACGGCCCAAACUCCUACGGGAGGCAGCAGUAGGGGAUCUUCGGCAAUGGACGAAAGUCUGACCGAGCAACGCCGCGUGAGUGAAGAAGGUUUUCGGAUCGUAAAACUCUGUUGGUAGAGAAGAACGUUGGUGAGAGUGGAAAGCUCAUCAAGUGACGGUAACUACACAGAAAGGGACGGCUAACUACGUG
Molecule: ribosomal RNA, 497 nt
Filed under: uncultured bacterium
Lineage: Bacteria
Description: partial 16S ribosomal RNA
Rfam family: Bacterial small subunit ribosomal RNA
Source: RNAcentral